This 243-nucleotide ribosomal RNA is filed under the name uncultured fungus. RNAcentral's name for it is "partial small subunit ribosomal RNA". It matches the Rfam family "Eukaryotic small subunit ribosomal RNA", at positions 1326 to 1591 of the family's 1831-position model. Lineage: Eukaryota; Fungi. The record is from RNAcentral.
CGAUAACGAACGAGACCUUGACCUGCUAAAUAGCCCGGCUGACUUUUGUCGGCCGCUGGCUUCUUAGAGGGACUUUUGGCUCAAGCCAAUGGAAGUACGAGGCAAUAACAGGUCUGUGAUGCCCUUAGAUGUUCUGGGCCGCACGCGCGCUACACUGACAGAGCCAGCGAGUACAUCACCUUGACCGAAAGGUCUGGGUAAUCUUGUUAAACUCUGUCGUGCUGGGGAUAGAGCAUUGCAAUG